UUCAGCUGCCACUCUGAAAACUGAUUACUACACGAACAUAGCCAAUUUAAUCUGGUUUUGGAAGCUAAGUACAACUGGGUCUGGUUAGUAGUUGGAUGGGAGACCACCAAGGAAUAUCAGGUGCUGCAA
Molecule: ribosomal RNA, 129 nt
Filed under: Pogona vitticeps (central bearded dragon)
Lineage: Eukaryota; Metazoa; Chordata; Lepidosauria; Squamata; Agamidae
Source: RNAcentral